AUCACCUGACUACACACGGGUCCUUUCCCCUUUUUUUGUGCGUUUGUAAAUGUUCGGGGCAGUUGCAUACAAUUAGCAUGUUUUGACUGUUUUUUAUAUAUAGCUUAGAGAAUGCCGUUUUCUGUCAUGUAGAGUACGAUUCAGUUCUGAAUCCUUUCUGACGAGACGCACGCAACAGGAUGGGCUCUUGGUAGACUCCAGAAAUCUAGCGGUACCUUGUUAGCUCAUAGCCAGUCAUUAUGCCACCGCAUGAUCCGACCUUGUAGCAGUUAGCUAUUAGUUAGUUCCUCUGCUGUAGAUCACCGCUACGUUUGGCAAUGUCUUCUAUCCUGGAUGAAUACGAAGACUCGCAGAACAUCAGGCACCCUGUGCAACAUAGUAGCCGCCUGUCUGCUGCCAACAUCGGCAUAACGCAUUCAGGGUUUGUGAAUGUGAGACUUGAAGAGGAGAAGCCGAUAUUCAACAAACAGAGGAUUGAUUUCUCACCCCCAGAGAAGAUCAACCACUUUGCUGUCUGUAACAAUCAGCUAUGCAUGAGUUUAGGGAAGGACACUCUGCUGAGGAUUGACCUUGCCAAGCCAGACCAGCCCAACCAGAUAGAACUGGGGAGGAAGGAGGACAGCAGAGUACACAAGCUCUUCCUGGACCCCACAGGGUCCCACCUGGUGAUUUCUCUCAGUACCAGCGAGUGUCUGUAUCUGAACAGGAACACCCAGAAGGUGAGGUCUCUGUCCCGCUGGAGAGGACACCUCAUAGAGAGUGUAGGCUGGAACAAGCUGCUAGGGACAGAGACCAACACUGGGCCCAUCCUAGUGGGAACCAGCCAGGGAAUCAUCUUCGAGGCUGAGAUCUCUGCUUCAGAGGGAAGCCUGUUUAACACCAACCCUGACCAGUACUUCAAACAGGUCCACUCCCUGGAGGAGGACGGGAAGCCUGCUCCUGUGUGCUGUAUAGAGGUGGAGAGAGGUCCGGAGUCUAAAGUCGUCAUCAUCGCCACCACCAGGAAGCGUCUGUUCCAGUUCGUAGGUCGUGUGGCGGAGGGGUCCGAGCAGCAAGGCUUCAGCUCCGUCUUUUCGCAGAACCAGGAGCUGCUGCCCAGCUUCCAGGAGUUUCCGUUUAACAUGGGCUACAGUGAGAUCACCUUCUACACCUCCAAGCUCAGGUCCUGCCCCAAGGCCUUCGCAUGGAUGAUGGGUAAUGGAGUUCUCUACGGUCAGCUGGACUACAUCAGGCCGGACUCGGUGCUCAGUGAUGUGCAGGUGUGGGACUACACCCCAGACAUAGACUUCAGUUUCAACAAGCCCAUCUCCAUCGUGUUGACUCAGUUCCACUUUCUACUCCUCCUCCCCGACCGCGUCAAGGCCAUCUGCACCCUCAACGGACAGGUGGUGUACGAGGAUGUGUUUCCUGAUAAGUUCGGCACUCUGAAGAAGAUGAUCAAAGACCUAGCAGGAGGCCUGGUGUGGAUCUAUACUGAGAAGGCUGUCUUCAGAUACCACAUCCAGAGAGAAGCCAGGGAUGUGUGGCAGAUGUACAUGAGCAUGAACAAGUUUGACCUGGCUAAGGAGUACUGCCGGGACCGGCCAGAGUGCAUGGACAUGGUCCUGGCUAAGGAGGCAGAACACUGCUUCCAGAACAAACGCUACUUGGAGAGCGCUAAAUGCUACGCUCUGACCCAGAACUACUUCGAAGAGAUUGCUUUGAAGUUUAUCGAGGCAAAACAGGACGAGGCUCUGAAAGAGUUCCUGCUGAAGAAACUCAAUAAUUUAAAACAGAGUGAGAAGACCCAGAUCACCCUACUGGUCACUUGGCUGACUGAGCUCUACCUGAACCGCCUGGGGCUUCUCCAAUCAGACGAGGGGAAACGUGGGUUGUUCCAGGAGACGCGUGAUGAGUUCCGGAAGUUCUUCAGUAGCUCCAAACACAAGGAGUGUCUCUAUAACAACCGAACGACCAUCUAUGACCUGCUGGCUAGCCACGGCAACGUGGACGACAUGGUCUACUUCUCUGUCAUCAUGCAGGACUAUGAGAGGGUGAUCUCCCAUCACUGUCAGCAUGAUGACUAUAGCGCCGCCCUGGAGGUGCUCUCUAAGCACUGCGACGAGAAGCUCUUCUAUAAGUUCUCUCCCAUCCUCAUGCAACACAUACCUAAGAAGGUGGUGGACGCCUGGAUCCAGAUGGGUUCCAGGCUGGAACCUAAGAAGCUGAUCCCAGCCCUGGUCAACUACAGUCAGAUGGGCUCAACACAACAGGUCAACGAGACCAUCCGCUACAUGGAGUUCUGUGUCUACCAGCUCACUGUGACAGAAGAGGCCAUACACAACUACCUGCUGUCCCUCUACGCCAAGUACAAACCUGAGAGUCUCUUGUUGUACCUGGAACAGGCUGGUACCCACGCGUCAUACAUCCACUAUGACUUAAAGUACACCCUGAGGCUGUGUGCUGAACAUGGUUACCUCCAGGCCUGCGUUCUGGUCUAUAAGAUCAUGGAGCUGUAUGAGGAAGCUGUCGAUCUGGCCUUGCAAGUGGAUGUGGACCUGGCCAAGUCAUGGGCUGACCUGCCUGAGGAUGAUGAGGAGGGUUGAGGAAGAAGUUGUGGCUGAAGAUCUGCUCAGUCAUGUGGUGCAAAUCCAGGAGAAGGAUGUUGAAGAAGGCCAUGAACUGUCUGUCCAGCUGUAACCUGCUCAAGAUCUAAAGACAUCCUGCCCUUCUUCCCGGACUUGCUGUCACCAUGACCACUUCAAGGAGGCUAUCUGCAGCUCUUUAGAGGAGUACAACCAGCAUAUAGACGAGCUGAAGCAGGAGAUGGAGGAGGCGACGGAGAGCGCCAAGCGGAUCAGAGAGGACAUCCAGGAGAUGAGGAACAAGUACGGGGUGGUGGAGAACCAGGAGAAAUGUGCUGCCUGCGACUUCCCCCUCCUCAACAGACCCUUCUAUCUGUUCCUCUGUGGUCACAUGUUCCACUACGACUGCCUCUUCCUGGAGGUGACCCCUCACCUGUCCACCUACAAGCAGACUAAACUAGGUGAGCUGCAGAAGAAGUUGGCUGCAGCCACUCAGACCUCAAGUCUCGCCACCGCCCCGCCCCCAAGGAGAAGGAGGAGGGGGCGACACCGCCAGCCUGGGAAAAGAGAGUGCUGGAGUCAGCCGUGAGCAAAUCAAGUCAGACAUCGAUGACAUCAUCGCGUUUGAAUGCGUGUACUGCGGCGAGUUGAUGAUCAAGUCGAUCGACAAGCCGUUUAUUGAUCCACAGAAGUUGGAGGAGGAGAAGUCCAGCUGGCUCUGAGUUAAAUGGUUGGCGGCUUGGAGCUGAAAUGAGCUAGGUCUGAAAUGGACUGCCUGAUAUGAGGUGGGACAAUUUGACUGAAAAAGGUCUGAAAUUAGUGAAAUGGGCUUUAACUGUCUGAACAGAUGAGAAGUGAAAUAGACUUGUGUGAAAUGACUGAAAUGCGCAGCGUGUGCUGUCUGAAAUGGAACCGACCAGUGUGUACACUGUAGGCCAGGAAAUCAGCUGUUAUUCUCUUUGAUAAUGGGAUGUACAGCCACAGCUGCACAGUGCCGGGCGAUGGAUACUCACAGGAGUGGGGAAGAAUGCAGGCGCUCCUAUAUAAGCCCUAUAAGUGUCUCUGUAACAUGAUAUAUUCUACAGACACUCUCUCUGCGAAGCUUAAAAAAACUGCACUAUGUCGGGAUCACACACCUUGGUUUAUUAAACAUUACAAGAUCAGUUCCCUAUCUUUUACACUCAUCUGUCUAAAUUAACAAAUUAACCUGUGAAAUGUUCUCUGAAAUUGAAUGCAUAUUUAUAAAUCUUCACUGGUAUUAGAUAGUUCCACUGGCUAUUGACAUGAAUAGUGCUAUAAAAAGGUAUGUAAAGAACUACAGUUUUUGUUAUUAGUGUCCUUUAUGACAUCAUGAGAACUUUCUUCACACCUGUUUCAUUGGCUGACAGUUUAUGUUGUGACAUCUGAGAUCAGGUCAAUGUAACCCACUUUUGGUUUGCAAAAUGCACCUAUGAAAAUUAAACUAAUCUUUAAUUCUG
RNA transcript from Oncorhynchus gorbuscha (pink salmon), 4042 nucleotides. It is a transcript of the gene named vacuolar protein sorting-associated protein 18 homolog, with no coding region annotated. The record is from RefSeq and is a predicted model, not a curated record. The transcript has 16 exons. NCBI's taxonomy places the organism in Eukaryota, Metazoa, Chordata, Actinopteri, Salmoniformes, Salmonidae.